This 380-nucleotide long non-coding RNA is filed under the name Homo sapiens (human). RNAcentral's name for it is "novel transcript, antisense to IKZF1". The record is from RNAcentral. Lineage: Eukaryota; Metazoa; Chordata; Mammalia; Primates; Hominidae.
UGACCGGGACCACCUCGGAACCGCCCGGGGGCGUCUGCACCAGCGGGCGCAGGGACUCGGCCCCCAGCUGGCGCUGCUGUCGUAGGGCGUGUCGGACAGGCCCUUGUCCCCUGUGGAAAGCAGGCGACAGGCUGCAGAAGCUGUGACACAUUGGGAGUGACUGAUGGAAAUCUCAUCAAGUUGAAGCGGGGGUAAGUCUCCAAAAGCUAAAAGGGGCUGCAAACGUUCAUUCACCAAAGCAUUCUCCAGGCUCCUCACCUGACAGAGGACGCCAUCCCUGCUUCUUAAGGUGAGAAGAUUGAGGCCUGGAGGAAUCGCCUGUAAGCCCCAGAUCCCUGGCUGACUGGCAGAGGAGACAGCACUCUGGCUGCAGGGCUCUG